GCCCCUAUAGCUUAACGGUAAAGCGCACUACUGUUAAUAAUGUGAUAGGCGUUCGAUUCGCCUUAGGGGCU
Claviceps digitariae is the source of this 71-nucleotide non-coding RNA. NCBI's taxonomy places the organism in Eukaryota, Fungi, Ascomycota, Sordariomycetes, Hypocreales, Clavicipitaceae. The record is from the annotation of a GenBank genome assembly.